CGCUGCGGCAGGCCUAACACAUGCAAGUCGAGCGGUAGAGAGAAGCUUGCUUCUCUUGAGAGCGGCGGACGGGUGAGUAAUACCUAGGAAUCUGCCUGAUAGUGGGGGAUAACGUUCGGAAACGGACGCUAAUACCGCAUACGUCCUACGGGAGAAAGCAGGGGACCUUCGGGCCUUGCGCUAUCAGAUGAGCCUAGGUCGGAUUAGCUAGUUGGUGAGGUAAUGGCUCACCAAGGCUACGAUCCGUAACUGGUCUGAGAGGAUGAUCAGUCACACUGGAACUGAGACACGGUCCAGACUCCUACGGGAGGCAGCAGUGGGGAAUAUUGGACAAUGGGCGAAAGCCUGAUCCAGCCAUGCCGCGUGUGUGAAGAAGGUCUUCGGAUUGUAAAGCACUUUAAGUUGGGAGGAAGGGCAGUUACCUAAUACGUGACUGUCUUGACGUUACCGACAGAAUAAGCACCGGCUAACUCUGUGCCAGCAGCCGCGGUAAUACAGAGGGUGCAAGCGUUAAUCAGAAUUACUGGGCGUAAAGCGCGCGUAGGUGGUUUGUUAAGUUGAAUGUGAAAUCCCCGGGCUCAACCUGGGAACUGCAUCCAAAACUGGCAAGCUAGAGUAUGGUAGAGGGUAGUGGAAUUUCCUGUGUAGCGGUGAAAUGCGUAGAUAUAGGAAGGAACACCAGUGGCGAAGGCGACUACCUGGACUGAUACUGACACUGAGGUGCGAAAGC
RNAcentral lists this ribosomal RNA (730 nucleotides) under uncultured bacterium. RNAcentral's name for it is "bacterial SSU rRNA". It matches the Rfam family "Bacterial small subunit ribosomal RNA", at positions 34 to 760 of the family's 1533-position model. The record is from RNAcentral.